GGAUGUGAGGUCAAUCUGGCUGCAACAUCUGCCACUCCACUGAUUGCCAGGGUGGAUCUGGUUGAUCGGGCUGGCUAGGCGGGUGACCCCUUCUUUCCUUAUCACCCAUGGGCAUCCCUUCCAAAGCGAUGCACGCAGUGGAAGAAGAGGAAGAGGACAGCCUUCCCCGAAUAGAGGAGGACCAGUCUUUGGUCAAGGGUCUAAGAGUGGCUGUGCUGCCCUGCUAGAACCUCCAAACAAACUCUCCAAAAAGGAUAUGGUGAGGAAGCUGGCACAGAAGUGCUGGCAUUGUGCAAAGGUGU
RNAcentral lists this small nuclear RNA (302 nucleotides) under Jaculus jaculus (lesser Egyptian jerboa). RNAcentral's name for it is "7SK RNA (ENSJJAG00000002576.1)". It matches the Rfam family "7SK RNA". From Rfam's summary of the family: 7SK was discovered as an abundant small nuclear RNA in the mid-70s but a possible function has only recently been suggested. Two independent studies have found that 7SK RNA binds the CDK9/cyclin T complex (known as elongation factor P-TEFb). Lineage: Eukaryota; Metazoa; Chordata; Mammalia; Rodentia; Dipodidae. The record is from RNAcentral.